Populus euphratica (Euphrates poplar) is the source of this 886-nucleotide long non-coding RNA. RefSeq lists it as uncharacterized. The record is from RefSeq and is a predicted model, not a curated record. The transcript is spliced from 6 exons. NCBI's taxonomy places the organism in Eukaryota, Viridiplantae, Streptophyta, Magnoliopsida, Malpighiales, Salicaceae.
ACAGUGUGAAUGUGAACAAGAACCGGUACUUGGAUGUCGUACCAUGGUUGUUCUCAAUCCAUUUAAGGAUUAUAGACCAUCUGCGAGAGGAUAUAUAUAAAUUCAAGCCUCAUCACGGAAUUGCUCCUUUCUGCAGACUUCUUCAUCAGAAAACAUUUCUCGGUUCAUAGCUACUACACAGGGCCCACUAACACAUACGUACGAGGAUUUCUGGGAGAUGAUAAUACAGCACCAUUGUCCUGUGAUUGUGAUGAUUACUUGAUUAGUGGACAAUUAUGAGACUGUAAAAUGUGGAGAUUACUUUCAAGCAGAAGAUGGUCCUAGAGAUUUUGGAAAUAUUUCUAUUGUGACUAAGUGGGUCAAAACUACUGACACCUCAUUACUGUUGCGCAGCUUGGACGUGGGCUACAAAGAGGAGUUGUCUCUUGUAAGUGGCGUGCAUCUGUGGUGGAAAACAAGGGAUCAGGGUACUGGAACUGUACCCUUCUGGCAGCUGGGAUCUUGUUAACAUCCCUCUUCUUUGAGACUUUUAUUGCUCAAUCACCUCAAUUGAGAUCCUAUGAGAACAAACAUCUUCCACCUGAGCAUAUCAUCACUACAUUCAGCAUCUGCCUGGAUGGAGGAAAAUCAUUUCUGAGGCAGAGGAAUCACCUAUGUGUUUUUGCACAUUAAGUAUACCGAAUGGCCUGACCAUGGAGUUCCCACGAACACAAAUGCUGUCUUUGAAAUUCUCAAAAGAGCAUAUCAUAUGCCACCCAGUCUUGGCCCUGGUAAUUUGCUAGAUCUCCAUAACAUCUGAAACAGCCUCUCUCUUGUUCAGUGCAGGAAUUGGUAGAGAAUUUAUUUAUUGAACAUAAAGCAUGUACCUUGUUAUUUAUAUCAUAUG